AAUGCCCCCGAUCUCGUCUGAUCUCGGAUGCAAAU
Molecule: ribosomal RNA, 35 nt
Organism: Ursus americanus (American black bear)
Lineage: Eukaryota; Metazoa; Chordata; Mammalia; Carnivora; Ursidae
Source: Ensembl